Molecule: long non-coding RNA, 600 nt
Organism: Xiphophorus couchianus (Monterrey platyfish)
Lineage: Eukaryota; Metazoa; Chordata; Actinopteri; Cyprinodontiformes; Poeciliidae
Exons: 3
Source: RefSeq, a predicted model, not a curated record
AGUAAUCCAACAAUAAAACUGCACUAAAAGAAAAACCAGUUUAAACCGGAUUAGUCUGGAUGUUCAUCCGCAGACUACGGUGGUGAUCCCGCCACUUUCUGAGUCCCAAUUUUCUCAAAGUUUGAUCAGGCUUGUGGCUGGAUGGAAACAAAAUGGCUGCUUUCCUGCAAUGAAAAGUGAGACCUGCUGAGAACAGAUGCAGAGUUUGUGCUGAUCUCAGUCGCUCUGUCAUCCCAACGUGGACCGGAUCCCAGAACGGUUCACACUCCUGCAGACGCCCUGCCAGCAUGAACCGGAUAAAAAUAAACCUACUGAUGAAACACAAUCGGCCUAUUUAAAGGAGGCGUUUCUUCAGGUUUACACCAGAUGUUGAAAAGGUGUAAACGCGCUUCCUGUCAGCGCCGCCGCCACCGAACAGACGCGUUUCCACGUCGCCUCGGCUCACACAGGCGGAGCUGUUUUCUCCUCAGGCUUCACUCGGUGAAGUGAGAUCUCCAGUCAGGCAAGUGUUUGGUUUUUUUACCGCUAUGGACAAAGAAAUGGUUCAUAUGUGAAAACUGGGAUUGUGGAUGCAAAGUAAAACUGAGUGACGGCUUACAA